AGUCCACAUCGACGGGGAGGUUUGGCACCUCGAUGUCGGCUCAUCACAUCCUGGGGCUGUAGUAGGUCCCAAGGGUUGGGCUGUUCGCCCAUUAAAGUGGUACGCGAGCUGGGUUCAGAACGUCGUGAGACAGUUCGGUCCCUAUCCGUCGCAGGCGUAGGAAAUUUGAGAAGACCUGUCCUUAGUACGAGCGGACCGGGAUGGACGUACCUCUGGUGUACCAGUUGUUCUGCCAAGGGCAUGGCUGGGUAGCUAUGUACGGAAUGGAUAAGCGCUGAAAGCAUCUAAGCGCGAAGCCAACUUCAAGAUAAGAUUUCCCACCGCAAGGGUAAGACCCCAGAAAGACUAUCUGGUUG
This 356-nucleotide ribosomal RNA is filed under the name Clostridioides difficile. RNAcentral's name for it is "bacterial LSU rRNA". It matches the Rfam family "Bacterial large subunit ribosomal RNA", at positions 2497 to 2855 of the family's 2925-position model. The record is from RNAcentral. Lineage: Bacteria; Bacillati; Bacillota; Clostridia; Peptostreptococcales; Peptostreptococcaceae.